RNAcentral lists this ribosomal RNA (106 nucleotides) under Periophthalmus magnuspinnatus. The record is from RNAcentral. Lineage: Eukaryota; Metazoa; Chordata; Actinopteri; Gobiiformes; Gobiidae.
CACGGGCUAAACCUCCUUGUCAAUGCUUGAUCUCAGAAGCUAAGCAGGGCUGGGCUUCGUUAAUACUUGGAUGGGAGACGGAUGGGAAUACAAGGUGCCACAGUGC